UUAGUGCGUCGAUGGUGACGUUUGAAACGCCAAUGGAUUUUUGAAUUGCAUCGGCCUUUGAUUUCCAUGCCGGUGUGAGACUUCUUAGAAUUUUUCGAACGAGCUCUCUAUCCGUGAAUGUUUUCUUGAGAGCAUGUAGGUCAAUUACGAUUAUUGAAAAUCGCUCAAACAUUUCGUCCACCUUUUCACCUUCCUUCAUGUG
Molecule: long non-coding RNA, 202 nt
Filed under: Nicotiana benthamiana
Lineage: Eukaryota; Viridiplantae; Streptophyta; Magnoliopsida; Solanales; Solanaceae
Description: long non-coding RNA (NBEN_LNC000073)
Source: RNAcentral